GACGAACGCUAGCGGCGGGCUUAACACAUGCAAGCCGAACGGAAAGUCCCUUCGUUUUUUUGGUGCUCGAGUGGCGAACGGGUGAGUAACACGUGUGUAACCUGCCCGUGACUUUGGGAUAACUUCACGAAACUGGGGUUAAUACCGCAUAGCACCUCCUGCUGCAUGGUGGUGGUGGUUAAGCUUCGGCGGUUGGGGAUGGAGUCUCCGCUUAUUUGAUUGGUUGUGGGGUAGUGGCUUACCAAGGCUUUGACGGGUUGCCGGCCUGAGCGGGUGAACGGACACAUUGGGAAGGAGACACGGCCAAGAAUCAUAAGGGAGGAAGCAGUGGGGAAUACUGCACAGUGGGCGGAAGCCUGCUGCAGGAAAGAAGCGUGCGGGAUGACGGCCUUGGGGUUGUAAGCGGAUUUAGCAUGUGACGAAGCGUGAGUGAAGGUAAUGGGUAAAGAAGCAACGGCUAACUACGUG
This 468-nucleotide ribosomal RNA is filed under the name uncultured bacterium. RNAcentral describes it as "partial 16S ribosomal RNA". It matches the Rfam family "Bacterial small subunit ribosomal RNA", at positions 28 to 507 of the family's 1533-position model. The record is from RNAcentral.